Non-coding RNA from Podarcis lilfordi (Lilford's wall lizard), 72 nucleotides. The record is from the annotation of a GenBank genome assembly. Lineage: Eukaryota; Metazoa; Chordata; Lepidosauria; Squamata; Lacertidae.
GACUUAGCUCAGUGUGAAAACAUCUGCUUUCCAUGCAGAAGAUCCCAGGUUCAAUAAUCCCUGGCAUCUCCA